This 522-nucleotide ribosomal RNA is filed under the name uncultured bacterium. Its description in RNAcentral is "bacterial SSU rRNA". It matches the Rfam family "Bacterial small subunit ribosomal RNA", at positions 777 to 1297 of the family's 1533-position model. The record is from RNAcentral.
AAUAGAUACCCCGGUAGUCCACGCCGUAAACGAUGAGUGCUAAGUGUUAGAGGGUUUCCGCCCUUUAGUGCUGCAGCUAACGCAUUAAGCACUCCGCCUGGGGAGUACGGUCGCAAGACUGAAACUCAAAGGAAUUGACGGGGGCCCGCACAAGCGGUGGAGCAUGUGGUUUAAUUCGAAGCAACGCGAAGAACCUUACCAGGUCUUGACAUCCUCUGACAACUCUAGAGAUAGAGCGUUCCCCUUCGGGGGACAGAGUGACAGGUGGUGCAUGGUUGUCGUCAGCUCGUGUCGUGAGAUGUUGGGUUAAGUCCCGCAACGAGCGCAACCCUUGAUCUUAGUUGCCAGCAUUUAGUUGGGCACUCUAAGGUGACUGCCGGUGACAAACCGGAGGAAGGUGGGGAUGACGUCAAAUCAUCAUGCCCCUUAUGACCUGGGCUACACACGUGCUACAAUGGAUGGUACAAAGGGCUGCAAGACCGCGAGGUCAGGCCAAUCCCAUAAAACCAUUCUCAGUUCGGA